RNAcentral lists this ribosomal RNA (494 nucleotides) under uncultured bacterium. Its description in RNAcentral is "partial 16S ribosomal RNA". It matches the Rfam family "Bacterial small subunit ribosomal RNA", at positions 28 to 507 of the family's 1533-position model. The record is from RNAcentral.
GACGAACGCUGGCGGCGUGCUUAACACAUGCAAGUCGAACGGAAAGGCCUGCUUUCCCUUGUGGAUUGCGGGUACUCGAGUGGCGAACGGGUGAGUAACACGUGAGUGAUCUGCCCCCAACUUGGGUAUAAGCCUGGGAAACUGGGUCUAAUUCCCGAUAGGACUGCAGGGUGGUGCCUGUGGUGGAAAACGAUUUUCUAGUGGUUGGGGAUGAGCUCGCGGCCUAUCAGCUUGUUGGUGGGGUAAUGUCCUACCAAGGCGGCGACGGGUAGCCGGCCUGGGAGGGUGGACGGCCACAUUGGGACUGAGAUACGGCCCAGACUGCUACGGGAGGCAGCAGUGGGGAAUAUUGCACAAUGGGCGGAAGCCUGAUGCAGCGACGCCGCGUGGGGGAUGACGGCCUUCGGGUUGUAAACUCCUUGCGACCGCGAGGAAGCCACCUGGUUGGAAGGGUGGUGACGGUAGUGGUAGAAGAAGCACCGGCUAACUACGUG